RNAcentral lists this unclassified non-coding RNA (220 nucleotides) under Hevea brasiliensis (rubber tree). The record is from RNAcentral. Lineage: Eukaryota; Viridiplantae; Streptophyta; Magnoliopsida; Malpighiales; Euphorbiaceae.
GAAAGCAUGAAGGCGGGAUUCUUGUAGGCUAGAGCCCAGAUCUACGUGGCUGGUAAGGUCACACACUCCCUCUCUUACAAAUACCGAACUCCCAACCACAAUCACCCUUCAGCUUCAACUUCAACUCUUCCUCUUUCAACUCUCUCCCUCUCUGACCCAAACCACCUACAAUGGCCGAGUCCUCAGUCUCCCCGACUCCUCUGUUGAAAGAUGAGCUCGA